RNAcentral lists this ribosomal RNA (521 nucleotides) under uncultured bacterium. RNAcentral's name for it is "bacterial SSU rRNA". It matches the Rfam family "Bacterial small subunit ribosomal RNA", at positions 777 to 1297 of the family's 1533-position model. The record is from RNAcentral.
AAUAGAUACCCUGGUAGUCCCAGCCUUAAACGAUGCAUACUAGAUGUAGGGAGGCUCAACCCUUUCUGUAUCGGAGUUAACGCAUUAAGUAUGCCGCCUGGGGAGUACGCUCGCAAGGGUGAAACCCAAAAGAAUUGACGGGGGCCCGCACAAGCAGUGGAGCAUGUGGUUUAAUUCGAUGCUACGCGAAGAACCUUACCUGGGCUCGAAGUGUAGAGGAAUGUUUUAGAGAUAGAGCAGCUCGAAAGGGUCUCUAUAUAGGUGCUGCAUGGCUGUCGUCAGCUCGUGCCGUGAGGUGUUUGGUUAAGUCCAGCAACGAGCGCAACCCUUAUCGUUAGUUGCCAGCGCGUGAAGGCGGGAACUCUAACGAGACUGCCUAGGUUAACUAGGAGGAAGGUGAGGAUGAUGUCAAGUCCGCAUGGCCUUUAUGUCCAGGGCAACACACGUGCUACAAUGGUCGGUACAGAAGGCAGCGAAGCCGCGAGGUGGAGCAAAUCCUAAAAAGCCGAUCUCAGUUCGGU